CGGGUUGUAAAGCACUUUCAGUAGGGAGGAAGGUAGUGUAGUUAACACCUGCAUUAUUUGACGUUACCUACACGAAGAAGCACCGGCUAACUCCGUGCCAGCAGCCGCGGUAAUACGGAGGGUGCGAGCGUUAAUCGGAAUUACUGGGCGUAAAGCGCAUGCAGGCGGCCUCGUUAAGUCAGAUGUGAAAGACCCGGGGCGUUAACCUCGGAAUUGCAUUUGUAAACUAGGCAGGCUAGAGUCUUGUAGAGGGGGGUAGGAAGUUUCAGGUGUAGCGGUGAAAUAGCGUAGAGAUCUGAAGGAAUACCAGUGGCGAAGGCGGCCCCCUCGGACAAAGACUGACGCUCAGAUGCGAAAGCGUGGGGAGCAAACAGGAUUAGAUACCCUGGUAG
This 392-nucleotide ribosomal RNA is filed under the name uncultured bacterium. RNAcentral's name for it is "bacterial SSU rRNA". It matches the Rfam family "Bacterial small subunit ribosomal RNA", at positions 419 to 793 of the family's 1533-position model. The record is from RNAcentral.